GCCCAGGUGGCGGAAUUGGUAGACGCACUACCUUGAGGUGGUAGCGAUUUAGGUCGUAGGGGUUCGAGUCCCCUCUUGGGCACCA
This 85-nucleotide transfer RNA is filed under the name Xanthomonas populi. Its description in RNAcentral is "tRNA-Leu". It matches the Rfam family "tRNA". Rfam says of the family: Transfer RNA (tRNA) molecules are approximately 80 nucleotides in length. The record is from RNAcentral. Lineage: Bacteria; Pseudomonadati; Pseudomonadota; Gammaproteobacteria; Lysobacterales; Lysobacteraceae. RNAcentral also lists the same sequence under 33 other names.